RNAcentral lists this unclassified non-coding RNA (253 nucleotides) under uncultured Rhodospirillales bacterium. RNAcentral describes it as "contains 16S-23S intergenic spacer region". It matches the Rfam family "Bacterial small subunit ribosomal RNA", at positions 524 to 776 of the family's 1533-position model. Lineage: Bacteria; Pseudomonadati; Pseudomonadota; Alphaproteobacteria; Rhodospirillales. The record is from RNAcentral.
UACGAAGGGGGCAAGCGUUGUUCGGAAUUACUGGGCGUAAAGGGCGCGUAGGCGGAUGCAUUAGUCAGGGGUGAAAGCCAUGGGCUCAACCUGUGAACUGCCUUUGAUACUGUGCAUCUAGAGUUCGUGAGAGGAUGGCGGAAUACCCAGUGUAGAGGUGAAAUUCGUAGAUAUUGGGUAGAACACCAGUGGCGAAGGCGGCCAUCUGGCACGAUACUGACGCUGAGGCGCGAAAGCGUGGGGAGCAAACAGG